Molecule: long non-coding RNA, 1569 nt
Organism: Vulpes vulpes (red fox)
Lineage: Eukaryota; Metazoa; Chordata; Mammalia; Carnivora; Canidae
Source: Ensembl
AUGGAGGAGAAACGAACCAGAGGACUAGAACACGUUCGACGGGAAGGCAUUUUCCUCUGCGAAGUUUCUGGCCGGUGGAAAGACGAGGAAUUGGGGCUGUUUUACACCAAGUCAGCGGGCUAUCUCAGACCCCCAAGCUGGGGACCACUCACUGUGGAGAGGGAGGGCGGGAGCGCGAGGGGAGGACAGGGAAGAAGACCCCCGUCCGCCCCCAAAUUCCUAGCUGGAGGAGCGAGUACGAGAAGGACGUCGCGAAGGUCUUUCUACAAGACCCGGAGGUCGGGGACGUCCUCGUGCUCUCCCAUCCCUGACAAGUCUCCUUCCGGGGGUCCCGACGAGGCGUGCAGGCCUGGCUGCCCCUCAGCACCCGGGCCUCAGGUGUUCCGCCGCGCCUCCCCUCAGCCCUGCCUCGCCACGCCGCCUCCGGGGAGCGCAACAUCCGCGCACAAAGAGGCUCUCGGGGCCCGAGCGCCCGGCCCCAGCGGAACCGCCGCCGGGCUCGAGCCGCAGACGGGGAGGCACAACACCAGAGCCUCCCCGCCCCGGGAGAACCUUUGGUCCCGAAGGUCGUUCCGUCCUGCUCAGCCCGGUCAGCACGGCCCGUCCCUCCCGCGUCCGCGCUCACCCAGCACCAGCCGCGCUAUGUCCGAAGGUAACAACAUGACCGAAGCCGCAGCGGGAACCGCUACAGGAGACGAGACUCAGGUACAAGCCAACAGAGCAGCGACAGCUCCUGCGCCGCAUCUCCCGGUUCCAGUGGCGGUACUGAACCCGCGGCAAUUUGUCCCGCCUCUUUCACCCCGCGUCCGCCAAUCGCUUUCGCGGAAGAAAGAAAGGCGCCGAAAUGAAACCCGCCUCCGUUCCCCUCGGAACUGUCGUCACUUCCGCCCUGAGAGUCGGACAGGCGGGGCCGAAGGCGUCGAGGAGGUGGGAGGACGGCGCAGCGGCCGGCGCCAGGGGCCAGGCGGGGAGUGCAGGCUCGCACGCCAUUGGCGAGAAGCGCGCAGGCGCGUUUGCUCCGACGAGCCAAAUAUUUUGAAGCCAGAGCGCACCGAGCGCACAGCGUGCGGGGGUCGGCGCGCAUGGGCAGAUGGGGCCUGCUCUCGGGUGACCCCGGCUUCUUCCGUGGGAGACCCGGACUGCGGGGUCACGCAGCGUUUGAACCGGAAGCGGGAAGACUGGGUUUCCAGCUGGCUGGAGCCUCUGUGGCCGCGGGGGCGUGGAAGGCAAGUGGAACCGGGAUGUAGGCUGCAGUCGCCGCCGCUUUGGCUGUGCGAGGGCACCGUUAGGGGCGUGGGAAGCAGGCGGUGGCUUCUGCGUCCCGGGACUGGAGCCGCUCCGUGCCGGCGCCCCGACGACCGGACUCUCCCGCCCUCCCUCUCUCCGAGCCGCUACCGGGCUUCGCCUCGACCCUUCGGAGUGCCCCCCCCCCCCGCCCCCCUGUCUCUCUCCUGUCCCUCCUCUCUCUCUCCUUCUUCCUCGCGGGUUUCGCCUCGAUUCUUCCAGAUGCCCUGGUGGGCCCUCCUGCGCGUCCCCUUUCCCUGCCACCGACGGCCCAGAUGGAACUAG